UAACCUGCCCAAGAGAUCGGGAUAACACCUGGAAACAGAUGCUAAUACCGGAUAACAACAGAUGAUGCCUAUCAACUGUUUAAAAGAUGGUUCCGCUAUCACUCUUGGAUGGACCUGCGGUGCAUUAGCUAGUUGGUAGGGUAACGGCCUACCAAGGCGAUGAUGCAUAGCCGAGUUGAGAGACUGAUCGGCCACAUUGGGACUGAGACACGGCCCAAACUCCUACGGGAGGCAGCAGCA
Molecule: ribosomal RNA, 240 nt
Filed under: uncultured Lactobacillus sp.
Lineage: Bacteria; Bacillati; Bacillota; Bacilli; Lactobacillales; Lactobacillaceae
Description: partial 16S ribosomal RNA
Rfam family: Bacterial small subunit ribosomal RNA
Source: RNAcentral